Molecule: long non-coding RNA, 472 nt
Filed under: Triticum aestivum (bread wheat)
Lineage: Eukaryota; Viridiplantae; Streptophyta; Magnoliopsida; Poales; Poaceae
Description: long non-coding RNA (TAES_LNC000830)
Source: RNAcentral
UGCGGCCCUACUACCCGGCCGUGAACAUCAAGUACAUCGCCGCCGGCAACGAGGUCCUGGGCGGCGACACGCAGAACAUCGUCCCGGCCAUGCGGAACCUCAACGCGGCCCUCAAUGGCGCCGGCCUCGGCGCCAUCAAGGUGUCCACCUCGAUCCGGUUCGACGCGGUGACCAACACCUUCCCGCCGUCCAACGGCGUGUUCGCGCAGGCCUACAUGACGGACGUGGCCCGGCUCCUGGCCAGCACCGGCGCGCCGCUGCUCGCCAACGUGUACCCCUACUUCGCCUACAAGGACAACCCGCGGGACAUCCAGCUGAACUACGCGACGUUCCGGCCGGGCACCACGGUGCGGGACCAGAACAACGGGCUGACCUACACGUGCCUGUUCGACGCCAUGGUGGACGCCCUGGUGGCAGCGCUGGAGCGGGCCGGCGCGCCGGGGGUGAGGGUGGUGGUGUCGGAGAGCGGGUG